Molecule: long non-coding RNA, 444 nt
Organism: Conger conger (European conger)
Lineage: Eukaryota; Metazoa; Chordata; Actinopteri; Anguilliformes; Congridae
Exons: 2
Source: RefSeq, a predicted model, not a curated record
GACCGCGAACAGCAUGGAGACACGGCACAAUAAAAAGGUGUAAUUAAGCCAUUCAUUAACACUUGCUUCAAGAGGACCACAGACACAAAGGAUGAAUCAGGUACCUGGGCCUUUCAAGACCAUUCUGUGUUGUACCCUGGACAGGAUAUCACUGUAUACUGUGAGUUCAUUACUAAGACACUACAGUAUAAAUGAUGUACUAUCCAGGGUCACAUUCCCCCAUCGGAGCGAGCACUAUACCACACCAGCAGAGGCCUCACAGAGAGGGGCGGUGAAACCGUUACCAUUACUGAGUUUUUAGCAAUGGUAAGGGUUAAACAGCCCCUUCUCCCUCUCAUCUGAACCUGCAGAAGUAGGGAAGUACUCAAGAUGGAUGACACAACUUUAACUGGUCUAAGGAACAAUGCUUCAAUUGGGUCAAAAAUAAACAUCUAAAGCUAUAAA